CUACAUUUCCUUUCCAUGCAGUCACUUCCUAAGCUGAAGAGAGGCUCCUAGCUGACUGAAGGAGAGGCGCGGCAAAGGCCAGGGUCACAGGUGUGAGCCCCACAGUGUCACGAUGCCCCGGGGACACCUGAAGAAGGGGAAGGAAAAUCCAGGUGGUCGCCCUGAGGCAGACAGAUGCAAGGGGCUGCCAGCACCCUCCCCUGCACCAUCCCAGCACCCCGGGGUCCAAAAGCUUCCGAAUUUCUUUCCUGGGAUACAACAGCAGUCCUGCACUAUGCUCAGCUCCACAAGAGAGGGCAGUGUAGGAGGCUGGAGUCUCUGCGGCCGCAGCUGUGGUCCUCUGCUUCUGCUGUUUCAAAGCAGAUACGAAGAACCUCAGCAGAAUCCCUAGAACUCCAAGGAAAUUAAGGAAACACAGAAGAAGGAAGACGGAGAAUCAGGUAGAACGCUGACAGCCCCUCCCCUCAUUUAGGCUUUGAGGAAACAGCUCGGAGGCCUGCUGAGUCCCCCAGCUCUGGGAGGACUGCGACGAGCCCUGUGAGGCCAGAGGAGUGAGCGGCCGGCCCACAGCGCCCGUGAGGACGUGGAGAUGCUGACAGCUGCCGUCAGUAUCACAGCUGAGAGGAGGCGUGCCCUGGAAACACAUGACAACAUACAUACACGCAGAAGGAGCAGCUGGUGUCUGGGCAGAGGACAAAUGGCUUUCUUUACACCUCAUUCUUCCUCGAGAGGGAGCGGUGUGAAGCGCCUUCUCACUGGAAGGACAUGCUCUACUAUAAAACAUCAAUAUUCACUUCCUGGGAGUGCCAGGACUAAGAAUGAUCUUUUCCUACCUUUUUGGCUUUUUCCAAUUUUUCUAAAACGAGCAUGUGAAUUAACUAUGGGUGCAUAUAUUACAUUUACGACUGGACCGUUAAUCUCAGAGAAAUUCAUAAAAUGUGCGGAAGUUGUUAAAGGCCCAGGAGGAAACCCAGUCCUCCGGCGACGCGGGGACUGAGGCCCAGAGCGGCGCCGUCCCCCUGGCCGUCCCCCCGGCUUUCGUGAGUCUGCCCAGCGAAGCGCUCAGGGAGAGCGGCCUCUGCUCAGGAGGUGCGUCCUAGCUUCUGCUUCCUGGCACGGACGCUGAUUUUAUCAGUUUUGAUUAUGUAGAAAAUUGAGUGUGAUCUACUCACAAUGUUCUCCAAAGGCUACAGAGAGAUGCAAGCAAGGGAGAGAAGCAGGCUCGUCGAAGCAGGGCUGGGCGGGGCAGGAGAAGGGCGUCUGUGUCUCCCCUGCAGGGGCUCCCCGUUUAGUAAAACGAGGAAACUGAGUGCCAUAUCGUGAUUGAUAAGAAAUAUAUAUUUGGUCAUUCCGAUGAUCAAAAUACAUUUCUCAUAUUUAUUUGGUCUUCAUCCACAGUUCCUGGCUUACAGCUCCCAAAACCCUCGGAAUUUCCUAAGUGUUGAGCAUGGUAGAGGUGCCUUUUGUUACGUUAAUGAGGUACUUCUGGACCCCCGUAAGGAAGGGGGCUGGUUGCCAGGAGGACCAACUACCUCGUCAUUGUUGUGUUGAACUCCCACCUCCACCUCUGGGGAGGGGAGAGGAGCUGGAGAUGGAAUCAAUUGCCAAUGGCUAGUGCUUUAAUCAGCCAUGCCUAUGUAAUGAAGCCUCCACAAAAAAACAAAGGGCCUGGGUUCGGAGAGCUUCCGGUUGGUGACCACGUGGAGAUGUGGGGAGAGGGGCACUUGGGAGACGGCGUGGAAGCUCUGCGCCCUUUCCCAACACCUUACCCUCUGCGUCUCUUCCAUCUGGCUGUUCCAGGGUUGUAUCCUUUUAUAAUAAACCAGUGAUCUAGUAAGUAAAGUGUUUUCCUGAGUUCUGUGAGCCCCUCUAGCAAAUUAAUCGAACCUGAGGAGGGGGUCUUGGGAUCUACAGCCGCUUAGUCAGAAGGACAGGUGAUAAUCUGGGCUUGCAAUUGG
Molecule: long non-coding RNA, 1958 nt
Organism: Equus caballus (horse)
Lineage: Eukaryota; Metazoa; Chordata; Mammalia; Perissodactyla; Equidae
Source: Ensembl